GGAGGUUGAAUCUGGAGCGUCUGUGUCAUCUGCCUGGGAAUCUACCUGCAUGUGGGAGCCACUUCUGCUGCCCUGCUCUCUAUCUACCCUGCAUGGGACAGGCCCUGCUUUCCAGAGACUGUGCGGGGCAGAACUGCCUUGUUAUACCCUCCCUCAGGAAGAGCCUGGCAGCCUCACGGGGCUGUCUGAGAAGGUGGCCGUGCUGUUUGGUGCGGGAAGGCCGGGCGCAGUUCAAGGAAGAAGAAGGAGGUGGAAAGAAGAGGAAAGGAACAGAGGCAAAGAAAAGUGCCUGAGGUCAGCGGGAAGUGUGAGCAGAAAGGAGGAUACAGGGUGACAGACAUGACCCUUCAAUGUUCUAUCCGCUUCUCUUCUCUGAAAGAACCACCAACUAAAAUUUUGACUUGGAUGACAACUUUUCUAAAAAUUCUCCAUUGAUCCCUUGAGUCAAGAAAAUGCGUAGUUUAUCAUCUGCAUCAUCAACAAUGGCUGAGUUCAUCCAGGUUGCCUCAUCUGUUUCCUUCCAUCAGACCAGGACAAGAUUUUAAUUUUUCAUGAAGAGCAAAACUAUAGCUUUCUCCAUGGCCAGAUAACUGGGGUAAUUUGCUCACACACAUGAAUGCAGUUUCAGCUGGGGUCUCCUGAGCUGCCUCCCUUGCAGAAUGGAAAGGAGGCUGCCUUGUCCGGUAGGGGUGGGGUGGGGCAGGGCUCCUGCACUGACCCCACAAAGUGUGGAGGGAAGCCACACCCCAUCCCCAAGACAGUCCAUGGCUGUGUCCCCAAAGUAUGCAGAUAAAAAUGAUUUCUUCUCUGUCAAAUCUUUGAAUGUUUUCCAUGUAAUGUGUAAUUCUUUGGAUAAUUCUUUAAGUAGAAAUUUCAUCUAUUUCUAUUCUACUUAAAGAAUUAAAAUCUAGAAAAAAAUCUAGAAAAGUAAAAUUAAAACGCUGAAAAAAUGGUCAACUCCUUGUUCCACGUUCUCACAUUACCUUGUUUCCUUCAUAGUACCUAUCACCACUUCACACCCUUGUAAGUUUCUUUACCUGCUAAGGGGCUCCCUCCUCUAGUGUGAGAGCCCCAGGGAGGCAGGGACCUUCUGCGUCUUGCUCACUGCAGGGGCUCUCAGGGCUUAGCCCAGUGCCAGGCACACAGAGCAGUGAAAUAACUGCGUGCGUGGAUCAGGGAAUGAACCAGGAGUCACCAGCCUGAGUCUAGCCUGACUCCGCUGAGGAUGUAACUGUAACAAGACUGCAAGACUUCUCUGAAACCCAGGUGCUUUUUCCCUCAAAAGAGGAUGAUAACCAAAGAGUGGAAACAGCCUAGACUGUUCUCACUGGUAGAUGGAUGAGCAAAAUGUGGCACACAGGAUGGCAUAUGAUCCAGCAAUUAAAAGGAAUCACGUACGGAUACCCACAACAUCACAGAAGCACUUCAAGAAUAUUAGCCUCGGUGAAAGAGGCCAGACCCACAAGGCCACCUUGCGCACACAUUCAUUCAUGUGACAUGUCCGGAAGAGUCAGAUCUACAGAGACAGAAAGUGCGCGUGUGGUUGUCUAGGCUAGAGUGGGAAUGGGGAGCGCUUGUAAGAGGCCUGCCUUCUCUUUCAGGGAAGACGGCAGCCUUCUAAAAUUAGACUGUAGUGACAGUUGUGCAGUUCAGUAAAAAGACUGAAAACCAUUGAGCUGUACACUAAAAAUGGAUGGAUUUUACACUAUGUAAAUAGUAUCUCAAUAAAGUUGUUUAA
This is a long non-coding RNA of Manis pentadactyla (Chinese pangolin), 1738 nucleotides long. RefSeq lists it as uncharacterized. NCBI's taxonomy places the organism in Eukaryota, Metazoa, Chordata, Mammalia, Pholidota, Manidae. The record is from RefSeq and is a predicted model, not a curated record. The transcript is spliced from 3 exons.